Molecule: ribosomal RNA, 395 nt
Filed under: uncultured bacterium
Lineage: Bacteria
Description: partial 16S ribosomal RNA
Rfam family: Bacterial small subunit ribosomal RNA
Source: RNAcentral
AUACGUAGGGUGCAAGCGUUAAUCGGAAUUACUGGGCGUAAAGCGUGCGCAGGCGGUUUUGUAAGACAGAGGUGAAAUCCCCGGGCUCAACCUGGGAACUGCCUUUGUGACUGCAAGGCUAGAGUACGGCAGAGGGGGAUGGAAUUCCGCGUGUAGCAGUGAAAUGCGUAGAUAUGCGGAGGAACACCGAUGGCGAAGGCAAUCCCCUGGGCCUGUACUGACGCUCAUGCACGAAAGCGUGGGGAGCAAACAGGAUUAGAUACCCUGGUAGUCCACGCCCUAAACGAUGUCAACUGGUUGUUGGGUCUUCAUUGACUCAGUAACGAAGCUGACGCGUGAAGUUGACCGCCUGGGGAGUACGGCCGCAAGGUUGAAACUCAAAUGAAUUGACGGGG